GUGUUAGUGGAAGCGUCUGGAAAGGCGCGCGAUACAGGGUGACAGCCCCGUACACAAAAAUGCACAUACUGUGAGCUCGAUGAGUAGGGCGGGACACGUGGUAUCCUGUCUGAAUAUGGGGGGACCAUCCUCCAAGGCUAAAUACUCCUGACUGACCGAUAGUGAACCAGUACCGUGAGGGAAAGGCGAAAAGAACCCCGGCGAGGGGAGUGAAAAAGAACCUGAAACCGUGUACGUACAAGCAGUGGGAGCACGCUUCGGCGUGUGACUGCGUACCUUUUGUAUAAUGGGUCAGCGACUUAUAUUCUGUAGCAAGGUUAACCGAAUAGGGGAGCCGAAGGGAAACCGAGUCUUAACUGGGCGUUAAGUUGCAGGGUAUAGACCCGAAACCCGGUGAUCUAGCCAUGGGCAGGUUGAAGGUUGGGUAACACUAACUGGAGGACCGAACCGACUAAUGUUGAAAAAUUAGCGGAUGACUUGUGGCUGGGGGUGAAAGGCCAAUCAAACCGGGAGAUAGCUGGUUCUCCCCGAAAGCUAUUUAGGUAGCGCCUCGUGAAUUCAUCUCCGGGGGUAGAGCACUGUUUCGGCAAGGGGGUCAUCCCGACUUACCAACCCGAUGCAAACUGCGAAUACCGGAGAAUGUUAUCACGGGAGACACACGGCGGGUGCUAACGUCCGUCGUGAAGAGGGAAACAACCCAGACCGCCAGCUAAGGUCCCAAAGUCAUGGUUAAGUGGGAAACGAUGUGGGAAGGCCCAGACAGCCAGGAUGUUGGCUUAGAAGCAGCCAUCAUUUAAAGAAAGCGUAAUAGCUCACUGGUCGAGUCGGCCUGCGCGGAAGAUGUAACGGGGCUAAACCAUGCACCGAAGCUGCGGCAGCGACACUAUGUGUUGUUGGGUAGGGGAGCGUUCUGUAAGCCUGUGAAGGUGUGCUGUGAGGCAUGCUGGAGGUAUCAGAAGUGCGAAUGCUGACAUAAGUAACGAUAAAGCGGGUGAAAAGCCCGCUCGCCGGAAGACCAAGGGUUCCUGUCCAACGUUAAUCGGGGCAGGGUGAGUCGACCCCUAAGGCGAGGCCGAAAGGCGUAGUCGAUGGGAAACAGGUUAAUAUUCCUGUACUUGGUGUUACUGCGAAGGGGGGACGGAGAAGGCUAUGUUGGCCGGGCGACGGUUGUCCCGGUUUAAGCGUGUAGGCUGGUUUUCCAGGCAAAUCCGGAAAAUCAAGGCUGAGGCGUGAUGACGAGGCACUACGGUGCUGAAGCAACAAAUGCCCUGCUUCCAGGAAAAGCCUCUAAGCAUCAGGUAACAUUAAAUCGUACCCCAAACCGACACAGGUGGUCAGGUAGAGAAUACCAAGGCGCUUGAGAGAACUCGGGUGAAGGAACUAGGCAAAAUGGUGCCGUAACUUCGGGAGAAGGCACGCUGAUAUGUAGGUGAAGUCCCUCGCGGAUGGAGCUGAAAUCAGUCGAAGAUACCAGCUGGCUGCAACUGUUUAUUAAAAACACAGCACUGUGCAAACACGAAAGUGGACGUAUACGGUGUGACGCCUGCCCGGUGCCGGAAGGUUAAUUGAUGGGGUUAGCGGUAACGCGAAGCUCUUGAUCGAAGCCCCGGUAAACGGCGGCCGUAACUAUAACGGUCCUAAGGUAGCGAAAUUCCUUGUCGGGUAAGUUCCGACCUGCACGAAUGGCGUAAUGAUGGCCAGGCUGUCUCCACCCGAGACUCAGUGAAAUUGAACUCGCUGUGAAGAUGCAGUGUACCCGCGGCAAGACGGAAAGACCCCGUGAACCUUUACUAUAGCUUGACACUGAACAUUGAGCCUUGAUGUGUAGGAUAGGUGGGAGGCUUUGAAGUGUGGACGCCAGUCUGCAUGGAGCCGACCUUGAAAUACCACCCUUUAAUGUUU
RNAcentral lists this ribosomal RNA (1902 nucleotides) under Escherichia coli. RNAcentral's name for it is "partial 23S ribosomal RNA". It matches the Rfam family "Bacterial large subunit ribosomal RNA", at positions 326 to 2215 of the family's 2925-position model. The record is from RNAcentral. Lineage: Bacteria; Pseudomonadati; Pseudomonadota; Gammaproteobacteria; Enterobacterales; Enterobacteriaceae.